CCUACGGGAGGCAGCAGUGAGGAAUAUUGGUCAAUGGCCGCAAGCCUGAACCAGCCAAGUCGCGUGAAGGAUGAAUGCCCUAUGGGUUGUAAACUUCUUUUAUAAGGGAAUAAAGUUAUCCACGUGUGCCUUUUUGCAUGUACCCUAUGAAUAAGCAUCGGCUAACUCCGUGCCAGCAGCCGCGGUAAUACGGAGGAUGCGAGCGUUAUCCGGAUUUAUUGGGUUUAAAGGGUGCGUAGGUUGUUUUUUAAGUCAGUGGUGAAAGUUUGUGGCUCAACCAUAAAAUUGCCGUUGAUACUGGAAGACUUGAGUGUAGUUGAGGUAGGCGGAAUGCGUGGUGUAGCGGUGAAAUGCAUAGAUAUCACGCAGAACUCCGAUUGCGAAGGCAGCUUACUAAGCCAUAACUGACACUGAAGCACGAAAGCGUGGGGAUCAAACAGGAUUAGAUACCCGGGUAGUC
Molecule: ribosomal RNA, 460 nt
Filed under: uncultured bacterium
Lineage: Bacteria
Description: partial 16S ribosomal RNA
Rfam family: Bacterial small subunit ribosomal RNA
Source: RNAcentral